RNAcentral lists this long non-coding RNA (433 nucleotides) under Olea europaea (common olive). RNAcentral's name for it is "long non-coding RNA (OEUR_LNC010102)". Lineage: Eukaryota; Viridiplantae; Streptophyta; Magnoliopsida; Lamiales; Oleaceae. The record is from RNAcentral.
CGAGAAGUACCGACACCGCUACAUUUACUCUCAUCAGAGCGGCUAUGGGUGGUACUGUUUCUUGUGUGAGAUCAAGUGAGCAUCCCACCGCUGUAAGUGAGAUCACCAUUGGUUCAACUCACUAACUCUUACCUCUUGUUCCGUUCCUAAUUUAGUCCUAUCGUAUGUUGUAGUUGAGAUCUACCGUGUGCCGUGGCAAGGAUUUAUAGCUCCGUGAUCUGUGUGGAUUUUUUUAGUAGUGUUUUUAGUUGGUGGGUAGGGGUUGUGUGGUGGCUUUGUUGGAUUUAGCGGUGACGGAGGUUAUGUUGGAUCUGAUGGUGGCUAUGAUUUUAUUGGUGGCUAUGAUUGAAGUUGAAAAUGGUGGUUUGCUAGAAGUGACGGUGUUGAUUUUCUUGAAAUGGUGAUGUUGCUAUCAGAAGGUGGUGGUGGUGGC